Molecule: non-coding RNA, 1064 nt
Organism: Podarcis lilfordi (Lilford's wall lizard)
Lineage: Eukaryota; Metazoa; Chordata; Lepidosauria; Squamata; Lacertidae
Source: the annotation of a GenBank genome assembly
UCAGUGCAGCAUAGCAGUUAGUGUUGGACUAGGACCCGGGAUACUAGGGUACAAGUGUCCAAGGACUCAGUCUUGAGCCAGUCGCUCCCUCUCAGCCCAACCUGCCUUGCAGGGCUGUUGUGAGGAUAAAAUGAGAAGAAGGAGAAAUAGGUAUGUCACUUUUAACUCCUUGGAGGAAAACUGGGAUAUGAAUGUCUUAAACAGAUCAAUAAACAUAACAUCCACGCAGUACUCCUUAAACUGCAUUUUGUACCUGAUGUUCAUCUAUGCUUGUUGUACAACUAGAUUGACAAUAUCACUUCCAAUUUUCCUGACUUGGGACACAGCUGCAAGAUUGAAAGUUUUUGUUUUAGCUUAACCACCAUCUUGCAUGUGAACAGACUGGCUUCAUAAGGACGCAGACUUGGUUCAACCACGCUCUCCUGUAUCUAGGAUUAUUUCAUGUUGCUAAAUACCUGGGACAUGCUCAUCAGCAAAUAGGCUUGCAAUGUAUUCAGAGACACACUGUCUGUAUCUGAUCCUGGGGGCUACGUACAUGAGUGUUAAAACACAGUGAUAGAACUGUAGAGUUGGAAGGGACCCUAAGGGUCAUUUUGUGCAACCCCCUGUAAUGUAGGAAUCACAGAUCAUUUGCCCCUCUGUGUGUUUCAAGUCACUUUUUAAUGUUGCUGUACACACAACAUAGAGGCCCUUCUUCAUGUGCUUCCUCCAUGAUAGGUCCAGAGAAUGGCAACAUGAGAACGGGCCUUUUAUGCGGUGGCUCCCCACUUGUGGAAUGCUUUCACUAGGGAGGCACCAGGCAAAAACAUUCCUCUCUUCCCAUGCCUUUAUUUAUGGCCGUUUAAAAUGUGUGUGUGGUAUUGUUUUUGUUUGUUAUUAUGGUGUGUAUUUUUGGGUUUUUAUAUUGUAAACCACCCUGUGAUCCUCAGAUGAAGGGCAGUAUUGAAAUUUUAACAACCACCACCUGAUUUGUUCCACAAUAUCAAACUCCUUUUAAACAAAACUGGCACCUGAGCAUGUGCAACAGUUGUCUCAAAUGUACACACGUCCGGAUGGAAGAUGGU